UACGGGAGGCACAGGGGGAAUAUUGCACAAUGGGCGCAAGCCUGAUGCAGCCAUGCCGCGUGUAUGAAGAAGGCCUUCGGGUUGUAAAGUACUUUCAGUCGUGAGGAAGGUGUUAAGGUUAAUAACCUUAGCAAUUGACGUUAGCGACAGAAGAAGCACCGGCUAACUCCGUGCCAGCAGCCGCGGUAAUACGGAGGGUGCGAGCGUUAAUCGGAAUUACUGGGCGUAAAGGGCACGCAGGCGGUUAAUUAAGUUGGAUGUGAAAUCCCCGGGCUUAACCUGGGAAUGGCAUUCAAGACUGGUUAGCUAGAGUCUUGUAGAGGGGGUAGAAUUCCAUGUGUAGCGGUGAAAUGCGUAGAGAUGUGGAGGAAUACCGGUGGCGAAGGCGGCCCCUGGACAAAGACUGACGCUCAUGUGCGAAAGCGUGGGGAGCAAACAGGGAUUAGAUACC
This 451-nucleotide ribosomal RNA is filed under the name uncultured bacterium. Its description in RNAcentral is "bacterial SSU rRNA". It matches the Rfam family "Bacterial small subunit ribosomal RNA", at positions 340 to 786 of the family's 1533-position model. The record is from RNAcentral.